This 447-nucleotide ribosomal RNA is filed under the name Acrosomoides acrosomoides. RNAcentral describes it as "partial 16S large subunit ribosomal RNA". It matches the Rfam family "Bacterial large subunit ribosomal RNA", at positions 1831 to 2601 of the family's 2925-position model. The record is from RNAcentral. Lineage: Eukaryota; Metazoa; Arthropoda; Arachnida; Araneae; Araneidae.
UUCUUAAUGAAAUAAUUUUAAGUAAUACCUGCUCAAUGAUUUUAAAUAGCCGCAGAAUUUUAACUGUGCUAAGGUAGCAUAAUCAUUAGCCCUUUAAUUAAGGGCUUGUAUGAAAGGUAAAACAUUUCAUUUUCUAUAACUAAUAAUUUUAACUAAAAUUAAAUUAAGAAUAAAAAUGUUCUUAUCCAUAAAAUAGACGAUAAGACCCUAUUGAACUUUACUUAAGUUUAGCUGGGGCAGCUAAAAAAUAAUAAUCUUAUUAAAUAUUUUUCUUUAAACGACCCAAAUUGUUUGAGUUUUUGAAUAAGUUACCAUAGGGAUAACAGCGUAAUAUUUUUUUGAAGCUCUUAUUUAAAAAAAAGAKUGCGACCUCGAUGUUGAAUUAGUAUUACUUUAUUAAUGCACCUAUUAUUAAAGCGGGUCUGUUCGACCUUUAAAAUACUACAU